CUUGGUCAUUUAGAGGAAGUAAAAGUCGUAACAAGGUUUCCGUAGGUGAACCUGCGGAAGGAUCAUUAUAGAGUUCAUGCCCUUAUGGGUAGAUCUCCCACCCUUGAAUACCAUACCUUCGUUGCUUUGGCGGGCCACGUUCGCGUGCCGGCUUCGGCUGGCUGCGCCCGCCAGAGAACCCAAACUCGUUUGUUUAGUGAUGUCUGAGUACUAUAUAUAAUAGUUAAAACUUUCAACAACGGAUCUCUUGGUUCUGGCAUCGAUGAAGAACGCAGCGAAAUGCGAUAAGUAAUGUGAAUUGCAGAAUUCAGUGAAUCAUCGAAUCUUUGAACGCACAUUGCGCCCCUUGGUAUUCCGAGGGGCAUGCCUGUUCGAGCGUCAUUAUGACCACUCAAGCCUGGCUUGGUGUUGGGGUCCGCGGUUCUGCGGCCCUUAAAAUCAGUGGCGGCGCCAUCUGGCUCUAAGCGUAGUAAUACUCCUCGCUAUAGAGUCCCGGUGGAUGCUUGCCAGCAACCCCAAUCUUCACGGUUGACCUCGGAUCAGGUAGGGAUACCCGCUGAACUUAAGCAUAUCAAUAAGCGGAGGA
This 586-nucleotide ribosomal RNA is filed under the name uncultured Hyaloscypha. Its description in RNAcentral is "eukaryotic LSU rRNA". The stretch from base 228 to 381 matches the Rfam family "5.8S ribosomal RNA". The record is from RNAcentral. Lineage: Eukaryota; Fungi; Ascomycota; Leotiomycetes; Helotiales; Hyaloscyphaceae.